This 253-nucleotide ribosomal RNA is filed under the name uncultured bacterium. RNAcentral's name for it is "partial 16S ribosomal RNA". It matches the Rfam family "Bacterial small subunit ribosomal RNA", at positions 524 to 776 of the family's 1533-position model. The record is from RNAcentral.
UACGUAGGUGGCGAGCGUUGUCCGGAUUUACUGGGCGUAAAGGGAGCGUAGGCGGACUUUUAAGUGAGAUGCGAAAUACUCGGGCUCAACUUGAGUGCUCCAUUUCAAACUGGAAGUCUAGAGUGCAGGAGAGGAGAAUGGAAUUCCUAGUGUAGCGGUGAAAUGCGUAGAGAUUAGGAAGAACACCAGUGGCGAAGGCGAUUCUCUGGACUGUAACUGACGCUGAGGCUCGAAAGCGUGGGGAGCAAACAGG